Molecule: ribosomal RNA, 406 nt
Filed under: uncultured bacterium
Lineage: Bacteria
Description: partial 16S ribosomal RNA
Rfam family: Bacterial small subunit ribosomal RNA
Source: RNAcentral
AUUGAACGCUGGCGGCAGGCCUAACACAUGCAAGUCGAGCGAGCGGCGGACGGGUGAGUAAUGUAUGGGAAUCUGCCUGAUGGCGGGGGAUAACUACUGGAAACGGUAGCUAAUACCGCAUACCAUCAGAUGUACCCAUAUGGGAUUAGCUAGUAGGUAGGGUAACGGCUCACCUAGGCGACGAUCCCUAGCUGGUCUGAGAGGAUGAUCAGCCACCCUGGUACGGAGACACGGCCCAGACUCCUACGGGAGGCAGCAGUGGGGAAUAUUGCAAAAUGGGCGCAAGCCUGAUGCAGCCGUGGCGCGUGUAUGAAGAAGGCCUUCGGGUUGUAAAGUACUUUCAGGGGGGAGGCGUUACCGACAGAAGAAGCACCGGCUAACUCCGUGAGAGCAGCCGCGGUAAUAC